This 467-nucleotide ribosomal RNA is filed under the name uncultured bacterium. RNAcentral's name for it is "partial 16S ribosomal RNA". It matches the Rfam family "Bacterial small subunit ribosomal RNA", at positions 28 to 506 of the family's 1533-position model. The record is from RNAcentral.
GACGAACGCUGGCGGCGUGCUUAACACAUGCAAGUCGAACGGAAAGGCCCUGCUUUUGUGGGGUGCUCGAGUGGCGAACGGGUGAGUAACACGUGAGUAACCUGCCCUUGACUUUGGGAUAACUUCAGGAAACUGGGGCUAAUACCGGAUAGGAGCUCCUGCUGCAUGGUGGGGGUUGGAAAGUUUCGGCGGUUGGGGAUGGACUCGCGGCUUAUCAGCUGGUUGGUGGGGUAGUGGCUUACCAAGGCUUUGACGGGUAGCCGGCCUGAGAGGGUGACCGGCCACAUUGGGACUGGGAAACGGCCCGGACUCCUACGGGAGGCAGCAGUGGGAAAUAUUGCACAAUGGGCGGAGGCCGGAUGCAGCAACGCCGGGUGCGGGAUGACGGCCUUCGGGUUGUAAACCGCUUUCGCCUGUGACGAAGCGUGAGUAACGGUAAUGGGUAAAGAGGCACCGGCAAACUAGGU